GCGGAAAUAGCUCAGUGGUAGAGCACAACCUUGCCAAGGUUGGGGUCGCGGGUUCGAAUCCCGUUUUCCGCU
RNAcentral lists this transfer RNA (72 nucleotides) under Bacteroidales bacterium. Its description in RNAcentral is "tRNA-Gly". It matches the Rfam family "tRNA". From Rfam's summary of the family: Transfer RNA (tRNA) molecules are approximately 80 nucleotides in length. RNAcentral also lists the same sequence under 1 other name. The record is from RNAcentral. Lineage: Bacteria; Pseudomonadati; Bacteroidota; Bacteroidia; Bacteroidales.